CUGAGGUUUGCGAUGAAGCUAGAUCAUGAAUAGAAGUCUGCUCUAUUCAAUUUCUCUUUUCGAGCUUUUAAAUUUUUAGAAUCCUUCUCCCUUCAUCUCUCUCACUAAGAGACUUGAUGAGCUAUCGUUGGGUUAGAAUCCCUUCAUAGUCCAUGCUUGAUUUAGUGUAAGAGGGGAUGAUUGAUAGAAAGAUCAUAAUUUUCUAAAUCAUUUUUUCUCUUUCCAUGUGG
RNAcentral lists this long non-coding RNA (230 nucleotides) under Elaeis guineensis (African oil palm). RNAcentral describes it as "long non-coding RNA (EGUI_LNC048419)". Lineage: Eukaryota; Viridiplantae; Streptophyta; Magnoliopsida; Arecales; Arecaceae. The record is from RNAcentral.